This is a non-coding RNA of Oncorhynchus mykiss (rainbow trout), 84 nucleotides long. Lineage: Eukaryota; Metazoa; Chordata; Actinopteri; Salmoniformes; Salmonidae. The record is from the annotation of a RefSeq genome assembly.
GUCAGGAUGGCUGAGCGGUCUAAGGCGCUGUGGUCGCAGUCGCAGUCUCCCAUGGAGGCGUGGGUUCAAAUCCCACUUCUGACA